This 446-nucleotide ribosomal RNA is filed under the name Phoxichilidium femoratum. RNAcentral's name for it is "SSU rRNA". It matches the Rfam family "Eukaryotic small subunit ribosomal RNA", at positions 560 to 1008 of the family's 1831-position model. Lineage: Eukaryota; Metazoa; Arthropoda; Pycnogonida; Pantopoda; Phoxichilidiidae. The record is from RNAcentral.
UCUGGUGCCAGCAGCCGCGGUAAUUCCAGCUCCAAUAGCGUAUAUUAAAGUUGUUGCAGUUAAAAAGCUCGUAGUUGGAUCUCGGGUCCAGGCCCGCGGUUCUGCUCAUGCAGACACUGCUCGUCCUGACCCAGCUCGCCGGUGCGCCCUUGGUGCCCUUAACUGGGUGUCUCGGGUGCCCGGAACGUUUACUUUGAAAAAAUUAGAGUGUUCAAAGCAGGCUGUCCACGCCUGAAUAAUGGUGCAUGGAAUAAUAGAAUAGGACCUCGGGUCUAUUGUGUUGGUUUUCGGAAACCGAGGUAAUGAUUAAGAGGGACGGACGGGGGCAUUCGUAUUACGGUGUUAGAGGUGAAAUUCUUGGAUCGCCGAAAGACGAACUACUGCGAAAGCUUUUGCCAAGGUUGUUUUCAUUAUUCAAGAACGAAAUUCAGAGGUCCGAAGACAAU